AGAAAGCUUGCUUUCUUUGCUGGCGACCGGCGCACGGGUGAGUAACACGUAUCCAACCUGCCCUUUACUCGGGGAUAGCCUUUCGAAAGAAAGAUUAAUACCCGAUAGCAUAAUGAUUCCGCAUGGUUUCAUUAUUAAAGGUAUUCCGGUAGACGAUGGGGAUGCGUUCCAUUAGAUAGUAGGCGGGGUAACGGCCCACCUAGUCUUCGAUGGAUAGGGGUUCUGAGAGGAAGGUCCCCCACAUUGGAACUGAGACACGGUCCAAACUCCUACGGGAGGCAGCAGUGAGGAAUAUUGGUCAAUGGGCGCUAGCCUGAACCAGCCAAGUAGCGUGAAGGAUGAAGGCUCUAUGGGUCGUAAACUUCUUUUAUAUAAGAAUAAAGUGCAGUAUGUAUACUGUUUUGUAUGUAUUAUAUGAAUAAGGAUCGGCUAACUCCGUGCCAGCAGCCGCGGUAAUACGGAGGAUCCGAGCGUUAUCCGGAUUUAUUGGGUUUAAAGGGAGCGUAGGUGGACUGGUAAGUCAGUUGUGAAAGUUUGCGGCUCAACCGUAAAAUUGCAGUUGAUACUGUCAGUCUUGAGUACAGUAGAGGUGGGCGGAAUUCGUGGUGUAGCGGUGAAAUGCUUAGAUAUCACGAAGAACUCCGAUUGCGAAGGCAGCUCACUGGAC
Molecule: ribosomal RNA, 667 nt
Filed under: uncultured Bacteroidales bacterium
Lineage: Bacteria; Pseudomonadati; Bacteroidota; Bacteroidia; Bacteroidales
Description: bacterial SSU rRNA
Rfam family: Bacterial small subunit ribosomal RNA
Source: RNAcentral